GAGGGCAUAGCCCAGUGGUAGAGUGCUUGCCUUACAUGUGUGAGGUCCUGGGUUCAAGCCCCAGUGCCACCA
Molecule: transfer RNA, 72 nt
Filed under: Camelus bactrianus (Bactrian camel)
Lineage: Eukaryota; Metazoa; Chordata; Mammalia; Artiodactyla; Camelidae
Also listed under: 2 other names
Rfam family: tRNA
About the family: Transfer RNA (tRNA) molecules are approximately 80 nucleotides in length. Their secondary structure includes four short double-helical elements and three loops (D, anti-codon, and T loops). Further hydrogen bonds mediate the characteristic L-shaped molecular structure. tRNAs have two regions of fundamental functional importance: the anti-codon, which is responsible for specific mRNA codon recognition, and the 3' end, to which the tRNAs corresponding amino acid is attached (by aminoacyl-tRNA synthetases). tRNAs cope with the degeneracy of the genetic code in two manners: having more than one tRNA (with a specific anti-codon) for a particular amino acid; and 'wobble' base-pairing, i.e. permitting non-standard base-pairing at the 3rd anti-codon position.
Source: Rfam by way of RNAcentral